This 376-nucleotide long non-coding RNA is filed under the name Ailuropoda melanoleuca (giant panda). RNAcentral's name for it is "lncRNA (ENSAMEG00000024986.1)". The record is from RNAcentral. Lineage: Eukaryota; Metazoa; Chordata; Mammalia; Carnivora; Ursidae.
AUAAAAGAGGAUAAAAGAAGAGGCUAUCCCAAUAAUGUUAAUGUUUGCUUCUGGGGCGCCCUCUGAGGUCACGGGGCUGAGGAGACACCGCUGGAGCAGAAGGUUGGAAACUGGACGUCUUCAACAGUCUUGAGUGCCGUCUGUGACAGGCCUACUAAGUGCCAGGUGGUCCAGAAUCAGGGGAUUGGCGGACAAAGGAUGUCUGGGUCCUGUAGAGCACAAGCAAACCGUGGCUGUUCUUGAUUUUGAGAAGGUCCUUCAUCUUUUCUGGGCUCGAGGAUAAUUCUCUCCCUAUCUGGAUUUCCUGUUCACACCCAUGCCCACACCUAUGUCUAUACCUGCCUUAGAGUAAGAAAAGUCACUGCCUGAAGGAGGG